This 2727-nucleotide ribosomal RNA is filed under the name Escherichia coli. Its description in RNAcentral is "bacterial LSU rRNA". It matches the Rfam family "Bacterial large subunit ribosomal RNA". Lineage: Bacteria; Pseudomonadati; Pseudomonadota; Gammaproteobacteria; Enterobacterales; Enterobacteriaceae. The record is from RNAcentral.
GGGUUGUGAGGUUAAGCGACUAAGCGUACACGGUGGAUGCCCUGGCAGUCAGAGGCGAUGAAGGACGUGCUAAUCUGCGAUAAGCGUCGGUGAGGUGAUAUGAACCGUUAUAACCGGCGAUUUCCGAAUGGGGAAACCCAGUGUGAUUCGUCACACUAUCAUUAACUGAAUCCAUAGGUUAAUGAGGCGAACCGGGGGAACUGAAACAUCUAAGUACCCCGAGGAAAAGAAAUCAACCGAGAUUCCCCCAGUAGCGGCGAGCGAACGGGGAGCAGCCCAGAGCCUGAAUCAGUGUGUGUGUUAGUGGAAGCGUCUGGAAAGGCGCGCGAUACAGGGUGACAGCCCCGUACACAAAAAUGCACAUACUGUGAGCUCGAUGAGUAGGGCGGGACACGUGGUAUCCUGUCUGAAUAUGGGGGGACCAUCCUCCAAGGCUAAAUACUCCUGACUGACCGAUAGUGAACCAGUACCGUGAGGGAAAGGCGAAAAGAACCCCGGCGAGGGGAGUGAAAAAGAACCUGAAACCGUGUACGUACAAGCAGUGGGAGCCUCUUAAUGGGGUGACUGCGUACCUUUUGUAUAAUGGGUCAGCGACUUAUAUUCUGUAGCAAGGUUAACCGAAUAGGGGAGCCGAAGGGAAACCGAGUCUUAACUGGGCGUUAAGUUGCAGGGUAUAGACCCGAAACCCGGUGAUCUAGCCAUGGGCAGGUUGAAGGUUGGGUAACACUAACUGGAGGACCGAACCGACUAAUGUUGAAAAAUUAGCGGAUGACUUGUGGCUGGGGGUGAAAGGCCAAUCAAACCGGGAGAUAGCUGGUUCUCCCCGAAAGCUAUUUAGGUAGCGCCUCGUGAAUUCAUCUCCGGGGGUAGAGCACUGUUUCGGCAAGGGGGUCAUCCCGACUUACCAACCCGAUGCAAACUGCGAAUACCGGAGAAUGUUAUCACGGGAGACACACGGCGGGUGCUAACGUCCGUCGUGAAGAGGGAAACAACCCAGACCGCCAGCUAAGGUCCCAAAGUCAUGGUUAAGUGGGAAACGAUGUGGGAAGGCCCAGACAGCCAGGAUGUUGGCUUAGAAGCAGCCAUCAUUUAAAGAAAGCGUAAUAGCUCACUGGUCGAGUCGGCCUGCGCGGAAGAUGUAACGGGGCUAAACCAUGCACCGAAGCUGCGGCAGCGACGUUUAUGCGUUGUUGGGUAGGGGAGCGUUCUGUAAGCCUGCGAAGGUGUACUGUGAGGUAUGCUGGAGGUAUCAGAAGUGCGAAUGCUGACAUAAGUAACGAUAAAGCGGGUGAAAAGCCCGCUCGCCGGAAGACCAAGGGUUCCUGUCCAACGUUAAUCGGGGCAGGGUGAGUCGACCCCUAAGGCGAGGCCGAAAGGCGUAGUCGAUGGGAAACAGGUUAAUAUUCCUGUACUUGGUGUUACUGCGAAGGGGGGACGGAGAAGGCUAUGUUGGCCGGGCGACGGUUGUCCCGGUUUAAGCGUGUAGGCUGGUUUUCCAGGCAAAUCCGGAAAAUCAAGGCUGAGGCGUGAUGACGAGGCACUACGGUGCUGAAGCAACAAAUGCCCUGCUUCCAGGAAAAGCCUCUAAGCAUCAGGUAACAUCAAAUCGUACCCCAAACCGACACAGGUGGUCAGGUAGAGAAUACCAAGGCGCUUGAGAGAACUCGGGUGAAGGAACUAGGCAAAAUGGUGCCGUAACUUCGGGAGAAGGCACGCUGAUAUGUAGGUGAAGUCCCUUGCGGAUGGAGCUGAAAUCAGUCGAAGAUACCAGCUGGCUGCAACUGUUUAUUAAAAACACAGCACUGUGCAAACACGAAAGUGGACGUAUACGGUGUGACGCCUGCCCGGUGCCGGAAGGUUAAUUGAUGGGGUUAGCGGUAACGCGAAGCUCUUGAUCGAAGCCCCGGUAAACGGCGGCCGUAACUAUAACGGUCCUAAGGUAGCGAAAUUCCUUGUCGGGUAAGUUCCGACCUGCACGAAUGGCGUAAUGAUGGCCAGGCUGUCUCCACCCGAGACUCAGUGAAAUUGAACUCGCUGUGAAGAUGCAGUGUACCCGCGGCAAGACGGAAAGACCCCGUGAACCUUUACUAUAGCUUGACACUGAACAUUGAGCCUUGAUGUGUAGGAUAGGUGGGAGGCUUUGAAGUGUGGACGCCAGUCUGCAUGGAGCCGACCUUGAAAUACCACCCUUUAAUGUUUGAUGUUCUAACGUUGGCCCCUUACCGGGGUUGCGGACAGUGUCUGGUGGGUAGUUUGACUGGGGCGGUCUCCUCCUAAAGAGUAACGGAGGAGCACGAAGGUUGGCUAAUCCUGGUCGGACAUCAGGAGGUUAGUGCAAUGGCAUAAGCCAGCUUGACUGCGAGCGUGACGGCGCGAGCAGGUGCGAAAGCAGGUCAUAGUGAUCCGGUGGUUCUGAAUGGAAGGGCCAUCGCUCAACGGAUAAAAGGUACUCCGGGGAUAACAGGCUGAUACCGCCCAAGAGUUCAUAUCGACGGCGGUGUUUGGCACCUCGAUGUCGGCUCAUCACAUCCUGGGGCUGAAGUAGGUCCCAAGGGUAUGGCUGUUCGCCAUUUAAAGUGGUACGCGAGCUGGGUUUAGAACGUCGUGAGACAGUUCGGUCCCUAUCUGCCGUGGGCGCUGGAGAACUGAGGGGGGCUGCUCCUAGUACGGAUGCGUUGAGCUAACCGGUACUAAUGAACCGUGAGGCUUAACCUUACAACGCCGAAG